UGGGGAAUUUUGGACAAUGGGCGAAAGCCUGAUCCAGCAAUGCCGCGUGUGUGAAGAAGGCCUUCGGGUUGUAAAGCACUUUUGUCCGGAAAGAAAUCCUUGGCUCUAAUACAGUCGGGGGAUGACGGUACCGGAAGAAUAAGCACCGGCUAACUACGUGCCAGCAGCCGCGGUAAUACGUAGGGUGCAAGCGUUAAUCGGAAUUACUGGGCGUAAAGCGUGCGCAGGCGGUUUGCUAAGACCGAUGUGAAAUCCCCGGGCUCAACCUGGGAACUGCAUUGGUGACUGGCAGGCUAGAGUAUGGCAGAGGGGGGUAGAAUUCCACGUGUAGCAGUGAAAUGCGUAGAGAUGUGGAGGAAUACCGAUGGCGAAGGCAGCCCCCUGGGCCAAUACUGACGCUCAUGCACGAAAGCGUGGGGAGCAAACAGGAUUAGAUACCCUGGUAGUCCACGCCCUAAAACGAUGUCAGCUAGUUGUUGGGGAUUCAUUUCCUAGUAACGUAGCUAACGCGUGAAGUUGACCGCCUGGGGAGUACGGUCGCAAGAUUAAAACUUAAAUGAAUUGACGGGGUCAUAGCUG
Molecule: ribosomal RNA, 579 nt
Filed under: uncultured bacterium
Lineage: Bacteria
Description: partial 16S ribosomal RNA
Rfam family: Bacterial small subunit ribosomal RNA
Source: RNAcentral